UACGGAGGAUCCAAGCGUUAUCCGGAUUCACUGGGUUUAAAGGGUGCGUAGGUGGAAUGACAAGUCAGUGGUGAAAACCUGCAGCUUAACUGUAGAACUGCCAUUGAUACUGUUAUUCUUGAGUACAUUUGAUGUGAGUGGAAUGUGUCGUGUAGCGGUGAAAUGCUUAGAUAUGACACAGAACACCAAUUGCGAAGGCAGCUCACAAAAACUGUAACUGACACUGAGGCACGAAAGCGUGGGGAUCAAACAGGG
Molecule: ribosomal RNA, 255 nt
Filed under: uncultured bacterium
Lineage: Bacteria
Description: partial 16S ribosomal RNA
Rfam family: Bacterial small subunit ribosomal RNA
Source: RNAcentral